GAAAAUAUAUGUUUCUGAUCUUCCUUCAUUUGAUACAUUGCUGCAAAUGAGGGAGAAGGCAACCAAAAUUGGAUAAACAGCUAUUUCACAAGCUAUCACUAAUCACCUAAAAGAAUCAACACACACCAUGUACAAACAACAUGCAUCCCCUUCCAUCAAACAAGACAGAAAACCCUAGUGUUACAUUAACAUUUGCAAAGACUACAUUCUCAGUUGGGUUAAAAUAGAAAUACAGCU
RNAcentral lists this unclassified non-coding RNA (237 nucleotides) under Hevea brasiliensis (rubber tree). Lineage: Eukaryota; Viridiplantae; Streptophyta; Magnoliopsida; Malpighiales; Euphorbiaceae. The record is from RNAcentral.